RNAcentral lists this ribosomal RNA (293 nucleotides) under uncultured bacterium. RNAcentral describes it as "partial 16S ribosomal RNA". It matches the Rfam family "Archaeal small subunit ribosomal RNA", at positions 455 to 747 of the family's 1478-position model. The record is from RNAcentral.
GUGCCAGCCGCCGCGGUAAUACCGGCAGCUCAAGUGAUGUCCCAUAUUAUUGGGCCUAAAGCGUCCGUAGCUGGCCGACCAAGUCUCCCGGGAAAUCCACCCGCCCAACGGGUGGGCGUCCGGCGAAAACUGUGCGGCUUGGGACCGGAAGAUCCAAGGGGUACGUCCGGGGUAGGAGUGAAAUCCCGUAAUCCCGGACGGACUACCGAUGGCGAAAGCACUCUGAGAAGACGGCUUCGACAGUGAGGGACGAAAGCUCGGGUCUCAAACCGGAUUAGAAACCCGUGUAGUCC